Long non-coding RNA from Lepidothrix coronata (blue-crowned manakin), 3336 nucleotides. RefSeq lists it as uncharacterized. The transcript has 3 exons. NCBI's taxonomy places the organism in Eukaryota, Metazoa, Chordata, Aves, Passeriformes, Pipridae. The record is from RefSeq and is a predicted model, not a curated record.
AACAAGCAAUAUAAUAUAACUUGGUGACUUUCUAUGUAAUCUUAUACUGUGGGUAUUCUGACAUCACACUUCUGACUGUGGAAUUACAGUGCAGCACUCCAUACCUGUAUGUUGAGCUUGCAUCAAAGCUGUGUGGUUUUCGGUUUUGAAGCUUUGUCUCGUUCAGAGACAACGAGCAACUUACUGUGGUUCUUAGCUGAGGAUUUCCAGACCCGAUUCCUCUGUGCAUACGACUCGGCUUGGGUGGAUUUUUCUUAGUUCCGAUGUAACGAAGAUAUUCUUAGCUGAGCACUGUGGGGAAGAGGGAAUGUGAUCUUGGACUCACUCGACUAGUCGACUAGGUGCUCUCAGUGCCUAGAAAAGAACUUGUUUAAACUUUCUGUAGUGAGCAAGUGGCCCAUCUGCAGCUCAUCCCUGUGUAGAGUCUUGGCUCGGUAGGAAUGCGUUAAUAACCGCUGCUCUUGCCUCGUGUGCGCUGUGUGAGUCACCUCAAACUCCUGGUACAGGCAGCUCUGACACUGAUCUGGAAUAUUUUUGAGAACAUAAAUGAGUGCUUGAAUUAAUAUCCCAUGAAUAGUUUCAUAAAGCUUAUAUUGGACUUUGCAGUUGUCUUUAUUUUAGCCUUUGAUUGGCAAGCCUGAUACAUUCCUGUGCUUUAAUUGACAGCGAUGAGAUUCUGUUACUUCUGCCUGGUAGAGUCAUCCCAGUAGUGUAAUGCUCAACUUCAUUUUUCAUCAGUCUUGGGGAUGUAAUUCUAAACUCUUCAUUACUACAACUACUGACUGCAGUGUUCCAGGAUUAACAUGCUUACCUUGCCAGACAUCCAGACAUGCUGAUCUCCAGCUCUUUUGCAUUAUUCUUGAACCUGAAUUUCAAGGUCCCUUGUUCCUGCAUGUAGUCUGGCUCUUGUCUGAUACUCAGUUUAUUUUGCAGGUGUUGUAAUGUGUUUUCCCACUUGUUCUGCAAAGUUUUGCUUUGCAUACUUGUUUCUGGUAUUAUUGUCACUUUUGGACCCUUCUGUGUUACCUUCCAGGCAGGACUCUUGCUGGUGAACAGGGAUCUGCUGGACAGCCUUGCCCUCUGCUGUAGCCACCUUUCCAUGUUCCACUGGACACUUGAAGUAGCAGCUGCACCUUGAGAUCAUGACAACAGGUCUUUGGUUACACCCCAGUGAGUGUAGCCAACACCAGCUGGUCACACAGUGACACCUUGUCACAAAGUCAGUCUAACUUUCUGUGAUGGCUUACCUUUACCUGUGACUGGGAUCCACUCCAUGAUUGCUCACCCUUACUUGGAACUGGGAUCCAGUAGAAAACCUGGCAGCCAGCGUGCUGUCCUGUAGCAAAACUGAAUUAGUGAUCUUAAACUAGUGCUCAGAUCUGACUUCAGUUUUUCUAGUUAUCCAGUUCUGGAUGCUUGACUUUCAGGAAUGUCAUGGAGGGGUUACUGGCACAUCUGCCUCGUUCUAUGUACUUGAACUUAGCACGUUUUUGACACUCUUGGAGCGAGCAAUUUGUGACUGAACCGUGGGCUCAGACCAGCUCUGGCUGCAGUAAUGAAACUUGGUGUGGUAGCGAACUUUAAAUAGUCAUGUCUGCUCUAAGUCAGUCUGUAACAAGUGGGUACAAGGAAUGCCAUUCAAGUGCUUGCAUUGUGUUUCAUCUUGGUUUUAUCUGUGUGUGAAAAACACUUUUUCUCAAAAGCUUACCUGAAGCUCAGAAGUGUGGUGUCAGAAUACAUUGUACUGCUAGGCCCUCCGAGCAGACCUGGUGCUGGCAGGAGAGCACAGCACAGCGUGGAUGGGGCUUUACUGUAACAUUAAGCAUACAAAGUGUUGAUUUGCUUGCAGUUCUCCCCAUAGCUAAACACUGAGGCCUGUGAGUAGUUUAGGACUCGAGCAGUAAUGGGGUUGCAUGUCUCUGUUAAUCAUUGCCAGCUGCAGUGACAUGAUCAGGAAGGCCAGUGUUCUGUUCCAUUAUGUUCAGUGAGGCUGAGCAUGUUGGGAAGGAUUCAUCCAAGUAUAGUGCUCUGGGGAAUCACUUGGCUUCUUCCACUACUAGCAACUUUGGAAUCAGCUAAUUAGCUUCAGAUUUUUUUUCUCUCUCCAUACCAGCUAGUGGGGCUGUUAAAUAGCUGCUGCCUGGCAAAGGAAAAAACGGGAGGAUUGGCCUUCUCCCAGCUGUGUCAUUGCUGCUAGGUAAUGAUUGACACGUUAGGACUUGGCUGUGCAAUCCCGCAGUGGUCUGUGAAUACCCCAUCUCUAUACAUGUUGCUUCUGAACACCAGUACUGAAGAGCUAACUGGGGAGGGCUGGGAGGAGCGUGGCCAGUAGGGCAUCUGCAGUGUUUAAAGGAUGCACAAAGAUAUAGUAUCCCUUAUGCAUGGGGUUUGUUGCUAUGGCAGAGAAAACAAUAUGUGCAUAACUCUCCUGCUCCUGAGGGCCAUGAGAAAACCCAGGUGGUGGGUUGGACACUAAUCCUGAACUUGUCCCUGCCUGGUCAGAUCACACCGUGCCCGAGGUGUGAUCUGCUUCCCAGCUGGAGCUGUACAGAGCCUUGGACCACAUCCCCAGCUCUCACCAUUGCAGGCUGCCCUCAGCUGUAGUAAAGGGGGGUCUCGAGAAGGGAAAAACCUUGCUGAGGAUAAAAGCAGUGACAGUGCCAAUCUUAGUGUCUGCCUUUGGCUUCUGAAGCACUUGUAGGACUGUUGAACCCAAGGGCUCCUACAGUCCAGGGCCACUGCACUCCCUCAUGAAGGGGAAUAGAGGGCAUUGCUGCAGGACACAAAUAGGGUCAAAUAGUUGAAGUAGCUGACAAAAAAUUAAUGCCUUCACAUAAGGGAUAAUAUACCUCUGGCUGCAAUCAAACCUCACUGUGCUCAGAUGGGGGGUUAUGGUUGGUGCUCACACAAGGUGCAGUUCUUCAGGCAACUACCUGCAUAUUCCUUCAGCUCUUGAUGAGUGUUAAGGCCAGCCUAUUUCUGCCCCUUAUUCUUCCACUUAAUGGUUUGGAAUAACUGAUAAAUUACCCCUCAUAACUAAUCAGUCCAUGUAUCUUAAACCCUUAUUUUUAAGUUAGUUUUGAAAUGGUCCAGAUUUGCUGUGUAUGACUCUAAUAACUUCAGUUGUUAUCCUUUAGGUGAAGAUGAAAGCUGAGUGACACCGGAGUGCUCAUCCAUGGGAAUCGAGGAGACGAGCAUGAGCACAUCCAGCACGGUGCCCAGUGGUGUGUGGAGGGACCAAGGGAACAGGUGGACAAAAGGAGAAGUCUGAUUGCACUGAAGAGGAGCCAGGAAGAUACAAAUCUUAAAAAUAAAACAUUUUACUAUUUUUAUAAA